CCUACGGGGUGCAGCAGUGAGGAAUAUUGGUCAAUGGGCGCGAGCCUGAACCAGCCAAGUAGCGUGAAGGAUGACUGCCCUACGGGUUGUAAACUUCUUUUAUCAAGGAAUAAAGUGAUGCACGUGUGCCUUUUUGUAUGUACUUUAUGAAUAAGGAUCGGCUAACUCCGUGCCAACAGCCGCGGUAAUACGGAGGAUCCGAGCGUUAUCCGGAUUUAUUGGGUUUAAAGGGUGCGUAGAUGGGUUGUUAAGUCAGUUGUGAAAGUUUGCGGCUCAACCGUAAAAGUGCAAUUGAUACUGGCAGCCUUGAGUAAAGUAGAGGUAGGCGGAAUGCGUGGUGUAGCGGUGAAAUGCUUAGAUAUCACGAAGAACUCCGAUUGCGAAGGCAGCAUACUAAACUGCCACUGACAUUGAUGCACGAAAGUGUGGGUAUCAAACAGGAUUAGAUACCCGGGUAGUC
RNAcentral lists this ribosomal RNA (460 nucleotides) under uncultured bacterium. RNAcentral's name for it is "partial 16S ribosomal RNA". It matches the Rfam family "Bacterial small subunit ribosomal RNA", at positions 338 to 795 of the family's 1533-position model. The record is from RNAcentral.